This 497-nucleotide ribosomal RNA is filed under the name uncultured bacterium. RNAcentral describes it as "partial 16S ribosomal RNA". It matches the Rfam family "Bacterial small subunit ribosomal RNA", at positions 28 to 507 of the family's 1533-position model. The record is from RNAcentral.
GACGAACGCUGGCGGCGUGCCUAAUACAUGCAAGUUGAGCGCUGAAGGUUGGUACUUGUACCAACUGGAUGAGCAGCGAACGGGUGAGUAACGCGUGGGGAAUCUGCCUUUGAGCGGGGGACAACAUUUGGAAACGAAUGCUAAUACCGCAUAAAAACUUUAAACACAAGUUUUAAGUUUGAAAGAUGCAAUUGCAUCACUCAAAGAUGAUCCCGCGUUGUAUUAGCUAGUUGGUGAGGUAAAGGCUCACAAAGGCGAUGAUACAUAGCCGACCUGAGAGGGUGAUCGGCCACAUUGGGACUGAGACACGGCCCAAACUCCUACGGGAGGCAGCGGUAGGGAAUCUUCGGCAAUGGACGAAAGUCUGACCGAGCAACGCCGCGUGAGUGAAGAAGGUUUUCGGAUCGUAAAACUCUGUUGGUAGAGAAGAACGUUGGUGAGAGUGGAAAGCUCAUCAAGUGACGGUAACUACCCAGAAAGGGACGGCUAACUACGUG